GUUGUUUAGUUUCUGUGCCGUUUAUUGCGUACUCUUUGCCGCGCGAACGCACGUAGAUUUUGAGUGAAGGGGGAAGAGGUACUCACUUACGCCAGCGCAUAAAAUAUUGAUUGCUCCAUUUUCUCAUCAAUUUCAAAUU
Non-coding RNA from Caenorhabditis elegans, 139 nucleotides. The record is from Ensembl. NCBI's taxonomy places the organism in Eukaryota, Metazoa, Nematoda, Chromadorea, Rhabditida, Rhabditidae.